RNAcentral lists this ribosomal RNA (497 nucleotides) under uncultured bacterium. Its description in RNAcentral is "partial 16S ribosomal RNA". It matches the Rfam family "Bacterial small subunit ribosomal RNA", at positions 28 to 507 of the family's 1533-position model. The record is from RNAcentral.
GAUGAACGCUGGCGGCGUGCCUAAUACAUGCAAGUCGAGCGAACAGACGAGGAGCUUGCUCCUCUGACGUUAGCGGCGGACGGGUGAGUAACACGUGGAUAACCUACCUAUAAGACUGGGAUAACUUCGGGAAACCGGAGCUAAUACCGGAUAACAUGUUGAACCGCAUGGUUCAACAGUGAAAGACGGUCUUGCUGUCACUUAUAGAUGGAUCCGCGCCGCAUUAGCUAGUUGGUACGGUAACGGCUUACCAAGGCAACGAUGCGUAGCCGACCUGAGAGGGUGAUCGGCCACACUGGAACUGAGACACGGUCCAGACUCCUACGGGAGGCAGCAGUAGGGAAUCGUCCGCAAUGGGCGAAGGCCUGACGGAGCAACGCCGCGUGAGUGAAGAAGGUCUUCGGAUCGUAAAACUCUGUUAUUAGGGAAGAACAAAUGUGUAAGUAACUAUGCACGUCUUGACGGUACCUAAUCAGAAAGCCACGGCUAACUACGUG